UUUACUUCAUUUAAGGAAGAUAUAUCUAAGAGAAACGACAUGAUUCCAAGUUAAUGUGUUCAACAGCAAUGCACAAGGCAGCCCUCUCAAGCAGCAAUACAUAAACAAAGAAAAUGUAAUAUAGAAGAUAUUAUAUCUUGCUUACAUGGAUUCAUAUAAAUAGAUAUGAACGAAUCGGCAGCUUUAGGAUCAAACAUUGUUUGUUUGAGUUGCUUGAGAGAAAAUACAAUAUGGGACCCUGGAGAUCGAGAUUUCAUGGAAAAGGCAGGAUGUAUCCAAUACAAGAAUGUACAUAUAAGGA
Mytilus trossulus (common blue mussel) is the source of this 301-nucleotide long non-coding RNA. RefSeq lists it as uncharacterized. The transcript is spliced from 3 exons. The record is from RefSeq and is a predicted model, not a curated record. Lineage: Eukaryota; Metazoa; Mollusca; Bivalvia; Mytilida; Mytilidae.